Molecule: ribosomal RNA, 448 nt
Filed under: Agromyces sp. IGS57
Lineage: Bacteria; Bacillati; Actinomycetota; Actinomycetes; Micrococcales; Microbacteriaceae
Description: bacterial SSU rRNA
Rfam family: Bacterial small subunit ribosomal RNA
Source: RNAcentral
GCUCAGGACGAACGCUGGCGGCGUGCUUAACACAUGCAAGUCGAACGAUGAACCGGGUGCUUGCAUUUGGGGAUUAGUGGCGAACGGGUGAGUAACACGUGAGUAACCUGCCCUGGACUCUGGGAUAACCCCGAGAAAUCGGAGCUAAUACCGGAUAGGACCUGGAACCGCAUGGUUUUGGGUGGAAAGUUUUUUCGGUCUGGGAUGGACUCGCGGCCUAUCAGCUUGUUGGUGAGGUAAUGGCUCACCAAGGCGUCGACGGGUAGCCGGCCUGAGAGGGUGACCGGCCACACUGGGACUGAGACACGGCCCAGACUCCUACGGGAGGCAGCAGUGGGGAAUAUUGCACAAUGGGCGAAAGCCUGAUGCAGCAACGCCGCGUGAGGGAUGACGGCCUUCGGGUUGUAAACCUCUUUUAGUAAGGAAGAAGGGGAGCUUGCUCCUGACG